RNAcentral lists this ribosomal RNA (1750 nucleotides) under Ceratomyxa subtilis. RNAcentral describes it as "SSU rRNA". The record is from RNAcentral. Lineage: Eukaryota; Metazoa; Cnidaria; Myxozoa; Bivalvulida; Ceratomyxidae.
CUGAACGUCGUAGUACCGCUCAAUAUUUGCCUCAACGUGUCAGUCAUGCAAUCUCAGACAUAUUUAGACAUGUGGCAAAUCUAUAGCUAAUACAUGUAAAAACAGCCGGCUUGCUGGCUGUACAUUUAUCGGCCAACCGACCGCGGUAAUUCCAGCUCCAGUAGUGUAUAUCAACAUUGUUGCGCUUAAAACGCUCGUAGUUGGAUUACAGGACUGCAACACAGCCCUGCAUUGCUGUGGAUGUGGUCGUAGCAAGCCACUGUUAGUCUAAUUUGGUGGCCAGCCCGGUCAUUGAGUUGGUGUCUAACAGAAGGUAGCUCGAUGCAGUCCUUUUGUCGCACUGGUGCCUGAAAGUAGCUUUGUUGUUGCUAGAUGGAUACCGGUGGAGUGUGCCUUGAAUAAAGCAUAGUGCUCAAUGCAGGCGUACGCUCGUGUGUAAUAGCAUGGAACGAAUAUUUUGGCCGGUUGCUACUAGUUGUGGUUUUGCUGCAGGUUAGUAGUAGUUCGGUUCGAUCAGUGUUGGUUGGAACCACGGUCUCAACGGUUAAAAGGGACAUCUGAGGGCACUAGUACUUUGUGGCGAGAGGUGAAAUUCUUAGACCCACAAAAGACUGACUAUUGCGAAAGCAUUUGCCAAGAGUGUUUUCAUUAAUCAAGAACGAAGGUCAGAGGAUCGAAGACGAUCAGAUACCGUCCUAGUUUUGACAGCAAACAAUGCCAGCAUAGGGUCGCGGCGGUCACCCGUAUGAGCGGGUUGAACUAGUGCGGUUCUUAGGGGAAACUUAGCUUUCGGGCUGCUGGGAGAAUAUCGCUGCAAGGCUGAAAUUUAAAGAAAUUGACUAGCGACUACGUACGUACGUUUUACACGCGCGUGAUGCACAUUUUAGCUCGUAGUACCAUGAUUCGAUCAACAUUGGUAGGAUUGACAGAUUGGUAGGUCUUUCAUGAUUCAGUGAAUGGUGGUGCAUGGCCGUUCUUAGUUGGUGGAGUGAUCUGUCAGGUUUAUUCCGGUAACGAUCGAGACCACGGCCUUUAGUUGGUAGUGAGGUGCAGAGCUCUAAACAGGGCGGCCCAUUCAUGGGCUGUGUUGGUCGCACCGUGCUCAUCGAGCUAGGCAACUAGACGACGGGUUGGUGUGGCGGAGCUCUUUUGUCGCACUGGUUCUGGCYGGYGUCUUUACUGACGCUGGYCAAUAGCCGGUGGAGUGUGCCUUGAAUAAAGCAUAGUGCUCAAAGCAGGCGAACGCUCGUAUGUAAUAGCAUGGAACGAAUAUUUUGACCGGGGCUGGCCGCUGUGCAUGUUUUGCGUGUGCGGGUCAGUGUCGGGCUCAACUAGUGUUGGUUGGAGCCGCGGUCUCAACGGUUAACAGGGACACCUGAGGGCACUAGUACUUUGUGGCGUAGCGACUACGUACGUACGUUUUACACGCGCGUGAUGCACAUUUUAGCUCGUAGUACCAUGAUUCGAUCAGUGAAAAGCCGGCGGAAGCGUGGCAAUAACAGGUCUGUGAUGCCCUUCGAUGUCCUGGGCUGCACGCGCGGGGCUGCACGCGCGCUACAAUGGCAGCAGUAGAGAGCGUUGGCUAGCCAGAGAUGGCCGGCUAAACUGUAAAUAGCUGUCGUGAUAGGGAUUGAGCCUUGUAAUUAUUGCUCAUGAAAGAGGAAUUCCUCGUAAGCACGACGAUGUGCAGAAUCUGAUCGAUAUAUUUUCGUACGUAUACAGACGUUUACACAGGUGCGAUACGUACGUU